Molecule: ribosomal RNA, 928 nt
Filed under: uncultured bacterium
Lineage: Bacteria
Description: bacterial SSU rRNA
Rfam family: Bacterial small subunit ribosomal RNA
Source: RNAcentral
AGUUUGAUCCUGGCUCAGGAUGAACGCUAGCUACAGGCUUAACACAUGCAAGUCGAGGGGCAGCGGUAUCGAAAUAUUGCUUUCGGUAGCCGGCGACCGGCGCACGGGUGAGUAACGCGUAUCGAACCUGCCUCAUACUCGGGAAUAGCCUUGCGAAAGUAAGAUUAAUGCCCGGUGUUUUCAGAGUCCCGCAUGAGGCUUUGAACAAAGAUUUAUCGGUAUGAGAUGGCGAUGCGUCCCAUUAGCUUGUUGGCGGGGUAACGGCCCACCAAGGCAUCGAUGGGUAGGGGUUCUGAGAGGAAGGUCCCCCACAUUGGAACUGAGACACGGUCCAAACUCCUACGGGAGGCAGCAGUGAGGAAUAUUGGUCAAUGGGCGGAAGCCUGAACCAGCCAAGUAGCGUGCAGGAAGACGGCCCUCCGGGUUGUAAACUGCUUUUAGUUGGGAAUAAAACGGGGCUCGUGAGCCCCCUUGCAUGUACCAUCAGAAAAAGGACCGGCUAAUUCCGUGCCAGCAGCCGCGGUAAUACGGAAGGUUCGGGCGUUAUCCGGAUUUAUUGGGUUUAAAGGGAGCGCAGGCGGACCUUUAAGUCAGCUGUGAAAUACGGCGGCUCAACCGUCGAACUGCAGUUGAUACUGGAGGUCUUGAGUGCACACAGGGAUGCUGGAAUUCAUGGUGUAGCGGUGAAAUGCUCAGAUAUCAUGAAGAACUCCGAUCGCGAAGGCAGGCAUCCGGGGUGCAACUGACGCUGAGGCUCGAAAGUGCGGGUAUCAAACAGGAUUAGAUACCCUGGUAGUCCGCACAAGAAACGAUGAAUACUCGCGGUUUGCGAUACAGUGUAAGCCGCCAAGCGAAAGCGUUAAGUAUUCCACCUGGGGAGUUCUUCCGGCAACGGUGAAACUCAAAGGAAUUGACGGAAGGGCGUUUA